UAGAGAAGCAGCUGAUAUGCAGCCUGAUGUCCCCAGGGGCAGAGCAACUGACUGGGGAUGCCUCAGGGCAGGGGCCAGGAGAAGCACCAUGCCAGGAAGGAAUCACCCAAGAAGGACAAAACAGAGCCGGACCCAGUAUCACUGUUGCCCAGGGCUGUAUGGGGCUGAAAUAAAAAUGGAGAACAAGGGUCAGAUGCUGAUUCUAAUUACACCACUGCAAUAGUAACUAGACUGAGUUACUAUGAGUGUACCAUCAAGCCUCUGGUGUAGUCCAGGUACAAAGCAGAUAUAUUUAUAAUUUGAAGAUAAAAAGCAACACCCAAAGCCUCUAACCUUCUGCUUAAAACUGAACAAUUUUCAUCUGUCAAACUCUUCUUGGAAUUCUUUGAAUACAAAAGUAGCCAUGAAGACAACACUUCAUAACCAUUCAGCUACAAAAUCCCCAAAGAUUCACAGAUGUCUCCCAGCCAUCACCCCCACACAUCAUUUUAAAAAAUGUAUAAAGUAUAGCCAAGUAUUUUGAUAUGACUGCAUCAACCUAGAUGAGAUAGUAUAAUAAUAAUAGGUCUUAUAUGGCACAUUUCAUCAAUAGGUCUCAAAGCACUUUACAGAGGAGAUUAAUCUAAUUAUCCCUAUUUAAUAGAUGGGGAAACUAAGGCACAGAGAAGGGAAGUGAUUAGCUCCAGGUUAUCCAGCAGCAUUGGGAAUCAAAUCAAUGCUUUUGGGUCCCAGUUUAGUUCUCUAUCCACUAUGCCACAUGCCUCAUUUCAUUAUUGGCUUAGUCUGGAUGGGGGGUAGCAUGAUAUAGCGUAAUUUUAGUAAGGUUUCUGAUACAGUCCCACAUGACACUCUCAGAAGCAAACUAGGGAAAUGUGGUCUAGAUGAAAUAACUAUAAGAUAGAUGCACCACUGGUUGAAAGACAGUAUUCAAAGAGUAGUGAUCAAUGCUUUCCUGUCAAACUGGGAGGGCACAUCUAGUGGGGUCCUACAGAGAGUCUGUCCUGGGUCCAGUACUAUCCAAUAUUUUCAUUACUGACUUGGGUAAUGGAGUGGAGAGUAUGCCUAUAACAUUUGCAGAUAACACCAAGCUGGGAGAGGUUGCGAGCAUUCUGGAGGACAGGAUUACAAUUCAAAACAACCUUGACAAAUUGGAGAAUUGGUCAGAAUACAACAAGAUGAAAUUUAAUGAAAUUUAAUAAAGACAAGUGCAAAAAUUUAAGCACAUUGCUUGUUGUCCUAUCCUCAGAGGUUAAGGCGAACAAUUUUUCUCCCUCUUCCUGGUAACAACCUUUUAUGUACUUGAAAACUGCUAUCAUGUCCCCUAUCAGUCUUCUGUUCUCCAGCCUAAACAAACCAAUUUUUUUUUCAAUAUUUCCUCAUAGGUCAUGUUUUCUAGACUUUUAAUCAUUUUUGUUGCUCCCCUCUGGACUUUCUCCAAUUUGUCCACAUCUUUCCUGAAAUGCGGUGCCCACAACUGGACACAAUACUCCAUUUGAGGCCUUAUCAGCAUGUAGUGGAGCAGAAGAAUUACUUCUCGUGUCUUGCUUACAAUACUCCUGCUAAUACAUCCCAGUAUGAUGUUUGCUCUUUUUGCAACAGUUUUACACUGUUUACUCAGAUUUAGCUUGUGAUCCACUUUCAGCAAUAUUCCUUUCUAGGCAGUCAUUCCCCAUUUUGUAUAUGUAAAACUGAGUGUUCCUUCCUAAAUGGAGUACUUUGCAUUUGUCCUUAUUGAAUUUCAUCCAGUUUACUUCAUAGCAUUUCUCCAGUUUGUCCAGAUCAUUUUGAAUUUAAAUCCUACCCUCCAAAGCACUUGCAAUCCCCCUCAGAGACCCCUGAGAGAACCCCCUCAAUAUGACCUUCCAGUUUGACUGUGAACCAUUGAUAACUACUUUCUGGGAACGGUUUUCCAACCUGUUAUGCCCCACCUUAUAGUAGUGCCAUCUAGGCUAUAUUUCCCUAGUUUGUUUAUGAGAAGGUCAUGCAAGACAGUAUCAAAAACCUUACUAAAGUCAAGAUAUACCACAUCUCCCACUUCCCCCUGUGUUGCUGUAUGAUUGAAAUAUGACCAUUUAUAUAAUUAAUUUUGCUACUGUUAGACAAUUCCAACAAAUCUUGUACAAAGUAUGCCAUGUAUGGUGUCAAUGGAAAAGUUAUGAUUUACUAGAUAAGAUUAUCCUUUUUAAAUCCAUGUAUCAUCACUAUAUCUGACGGUAUGAAUAUUGGCUAUGCAUAUAUAUUUUAAAUAUGUUGUUCCUAGGGUAACACCUACAAGGUAGUUUACAUCCAGCCUAGCCAGUGCACUCUGAAGAGACUAUUCAAGUUUAAUGGCCCAUUAAAGGAUACUUCACUCUAACAAUGGGCCAUAGGAGAAGGCUGUCUCAAUGGUGAGUCUUCCUAUGGACUCCCCUGUCAGAAUAUGGGUAAUGGCUGCCCCGUGAGUAAGGACGUGUGAUAUACUCAUGUGACCCUGGACUCUAUCUUGUGCCAGUAAUUUUCCACAAACUGUGUGGUGAGCUUUGUUCUGGGACAGUAAAAUUCCAAGCACCUGACAGAGGGUACAAAAGAUCCUUGAAUCAUCUCCAUGUUGCCUCUUUCCUGCUCUGAUUCUCUGAACUGUGGACUUACAACUAAAAGGAGCACAUUUGAACUAUGGACUGAGGACCUUCCAGUCUUUUGGAAGUUACCAGAGACUUUACAAGCCAGCAGUCUAUAACAUCACUGCUACAAACCUGAUAUAAGAACAUUGGAAUAUUUGUAUGGAUAUGAUCUGUUAACCAUUUUAACUUUCUUCUUCUUUUCUCUUAUAAAUAAACCUUUAGAUUUUA
Caretta caretta (loggerhead turtle) is the source of this 2828-nucleotide long non-coding RNA. RefSeq lists it as uncharacterized. NCBI's taxonomy places the organism in Eukaryota, Metazoa, Chordata, Testudines, Cheloniidae. The record is from RefSeq and is a predicted model, not a curated record.